CUGUAGCAAUACAGAGUGGCAGACGGGUGAGUAACACGUGGGAAUCUUCCUAUCGGUACGGAAUAGCUCAGGGAAACUUGGGGUAAUACCGCAUACGCCCUUCGGGGGAAAGAUUUAUCGCCGAUAGAUGAGCCCGCGUCUGAUUAGCUAGUUGGUGAGGUAAUGGCUCACCAAGGCGACGAUCAGUAGCUGGUCUGAGAGGAUGACCAGCCACACUGGGACUGAGACACGGCCCAGACUCCUACGGGAGGCAGCAGUGGGGAAUAUUGGACAAUGGGCGAAAGCCUGAUCCAGCCAUGCCGCGUGAGUGACGAAGGUCUUCGGAUUGUAAAGCUCUUUUGGCGGGGACGAUAAUGACGGUACCCGCAGAAUAAGCCCCGGCUAACUUCGUGCCAGC
This 397-nucleotide ribosomal RNA is filed under the name uncultured bacterium. Its description in RNAcentral is "bacterial SSU rRNA". It matches the Rfam family "Bacterial small subunit ribosomal RNA", at positions 72 to 512 of the family's 1533-position model. The record is from RNAcentral.